This 421-nucleotide ribosomal RNA is filed under the name uncultured bacterium. RNAcentral describes it as "bacterial SSU rRNA". It matches the Rfam family "Bacterial small subunit ribosomal RNA", at positions 355 to 774 of the family's 1533-position model. The record is from RNAcentral.
UGAGGAAUAUUGGUCAAUGGGCGGGAGCCUGAACCAGCCAAGUAGCGUGAAGGAUGACGGCCCUACGGGUUGUAAACUUCUUUUAUAAGGGAAUAAAGUUCGCCACGUGUGGUGUUUUGUAUGUACCUUAUGAAUAAGCAUCGGCUAAUUCCGUGCCAGCAGCCGCGGUAAUACGGAAGAUGCGAGCGUUAUCCGGAUUUAUUGGGUUUAAAGGGAGCGUAGGCGGGCUUUUAAGUCAGCGGUCAAAUGCCACGGCUCAACCGUGGCCAGCCGUUGAAACUGCAAGCCUUGAGUCUGCACAGGGCACAUGGAAUUCGUGGUGUAGCGGUGAAAUGCUUAGAUAUCACGAAGAACUCCGAUCGCGAAGGCAUUGUGCCGGGGCAGCACUGACGCUGAGGCUCGAAAGUGCGGGUAUCAAACA